AGAUGGUUUCAUUUCUUAGAUGGUAUCAGUGACAAAAACAGAAGUGUCGAAAAGUGAUCGCUCCCAGUUACCUGAAGAAGGUGGAGCCUUGCUGGAGGAAACACGUCACAGUGGGCGGGUCUGUAAAUACAGAUUCCACAAAAUUUCCUGUCUCUGCCUCUCAUCCUACCAUAGGAACACUCUAAUUAUUGAUGUAUGCCACUGUACCUUACUUUAUGUAAGCUCUAAGAAUCUGAGCCCAGGUCAUCAUGCUAAUACAGCUAACAUCUACCCACUGAGCAUCUCUCCAGCCCCACGAAUGGC
Long non-coding RNA from Mus caroli (Ryukyu mouse), 303 nucleotides. RefSeq lists it as uncharacterized. The record is from RefSeq and is a predicted model, not a curated record. Lineage: Eukaryota; Metazoa; Chordata; Mammalia; Rodentia; Muridae.